RNAcentral lists this ribosomal RNA (253 nucleotides) under uncultured bacterium. Its description in RNAcentral is "partial 16S ribosomal RNA". It matches the Rfam family "Bacterial small subunit ribosomal RNA", at positions 524 to 776 of the family's 1533-position model. The record is from RNAcentral.
UACAGAGGUGGCAAGCGUUGUCCGGAUUUACUGGGUGUAAAGGGUGCGUAGGCGGGCGAUCAAGUCCGGGGUGAAAUCCUCCAGCUCAACUGGAGAACUGCCUUGGAUACUGGUCGUCUCGAGUGAGGUAGGGGCAUGCGGAACUGGUGGUGGAGCGGUGAAAUGCGUUGAUAUCAUCAGGAACUCCGGUGGCGAAGGCGGCAUGCUGGACCUCAACUGACGCUGAGGAGCGAAAGCUAGGGGAGCAAACGGG